CCCAGUUCCUGUUCCUCCUUGAGCAUCAUAUUCAAAGUCGGGAUAUCUUGAGAUGCCAAGCUUGCAAGCUCCCAAAGUUUUGAAAUUAACGGUGUAAGUAUCAGUUUUUGGGAGUGUGGUGGUGGAAAUGGUGUCUCGUUGAUUUGGACUAGAAGAUAAUGCAACGGUUUUAAUUCUAAGAGCUGGUAUUCUCGUGGAAAAUUUGCACAGAAUUGGGGGGUUUGAAGUGUGUAUCCUGCAACCCAUUUUCUAAAAAGUUAUGAUUUUAAGUUCUACCCAGAUGUGGAUGAAGAGGAAUUGAGCUUUGGCACUAGACUUGUGGUAUUAGAUGAGUGGAGUAACCAAAAGCUCACCGCAAGUUGCAGUUUUCGUGAAAUCAGGCACAUGAAAAUAAGAGGCUGUUAUGUGUUCUGAAUUUGGACCUUAUCUUUAUAUUUUAGGAAAUUUUACUACUGUGGCAUAUGUUGUGGACUGGACGCACCUGCGCUAGAAGAAAUAAAAAUUGAAAACUUAUAGAAUCACU
This 523-nucleotide unclassified non-coding RNA is filed under the name Hevea brasiliensis (rubber tree). Lineage: Eukaryota; Viridiplantae; Streptophyta; Magnoliopsida; Malpighiales; Euphorbiaceae. The record is from RNAcentral.